This 461-nucleotide ribosomal RNA is filed under the name uncultured Sphingobacteriales bacterium. RNAcentral describes it as "bacterial SSU rRNA". It matches the Rfam family "Bacterial small subunit ribosomal RNA", at positions 920 to 1382 of the family's 1533-position model. Lineage: Bacteria; Pseudomonadati; Bacteroidota; Sphingobacteriia; Sphingobacteriales. The record is from RNAcentral.
CCCGCACAAGCGGAGGAACAUGUGGUUUAAUUCGAUGAUACGCGAGGAACCUUACCUGGGCUUAAAUGUAGAGUGCAUUUUCUAGAGAUAGGAAUUCCCUUCGGGGCUUUCUACAAGGUGCUGCAUGGUUGUCGUCAGCUCGUGCCGUGAGGUGUCGGGUUAAGUCCCAUAACGAGCGCAACCCUUAUCGUUAGUUGCCAUCUGGUAAAGCAGGGGACUCUAGCGAAACUGCCACCGUAAGGUGAGAGGAAGUGGGGAUGACGUCAAAUCAGCACGGCCCUUAUGUCCAGGGCUACACACGUGUUACAAUGGUCGGUACAGAGGGCAGCUACCUGGUGACAGGAUGCUAAUCUCGAAAACCGGCCUCAGUUCGGAUCGAAGUCUGCAACUCGACUUCGUGAAGCUGGAUUCGCUAGUAAUCGCGCAUCAGCCAUGGCGCGGUGAAUACGUUCCCGGGCCUU